RNAcentral lists this ribosomal RNA (497 nucleotides) under uncultured bacterium. Its description in RNAcentral is "partial 16S ribosomal RNA". It matches the Rfam family "Bacterial small subunit ribosomal RNA", at positions 28 to 507 of the family's 1533-position model. The record is from RNAcentral.
GAUGAACGCUGGCGGCGUGCCUAAUACAUGCCAGUCGAGCGAACGGACGAGAAGCUUGCUUUUCUGAUGUUAGCGGCGGACGGGUGAGUAACACGUGGAUAACCUACCUAUAAGACUGGGAUAACUUCGGGAAACCGGAGCUAAUACCGGAUAAUAUUUUGAACCGCAUGGUUCAAAAGUGAAAGACGGUCUUGCUGUCACUUAUAGAUGGAUCCGCGCUGCAUUAGCUAGUUGGUAAGGUAACGGCUUACCAAGGCAACGAUGCAUAGCAGACCUGAGAGGGUGAUCGGCCACACUGGAACUGAGACACGGUCCAGACUCCUACGGGAGGCAGCAGUAGGGAAUCUUCCGCAAUGGGCGAAAGCCUGACGGAGCAACGCCGCGUGAGUGAUGAAGGUCUUCGGAUCGUAAAACUCUGUUAUUAGGGAAGAACAUAUGUGUAAGUAACUGUGCACAUCUUGACGGUACCUAAUCAGAAAGCCACGGCUAACUACGUG